Molecule: ribosomal RNA, 210 nt
Filed under: uncultured bacterium
Lineage: Bacteria
Description: partial 16S ribosomal RNA
Rfam family: Bacterial small subunit ribosomal RNA
Source: RNAcentral
GACGAACGCUGGCGGCGUGCUUAACACAUGCAAGUCGAGCGGUAAGGCCCUUUCGGGGGUACGACGAGCGGCGAACGGGUAGGAGUAACACGUGGGUGACCUCGCCCUCCAGCUCUGGGAGUAAGCCUCGGGAAACGUAGGGUCGUAAUACCGGAUAUGACUCCAUGACGCAUGUUGUGGGGUGGAAAGCCUUGUGCGGCUGAGGAUGGG